Molecule: non-coding RNA, 605 nt
Organism: Meleagris gallopavo (turkey)
Lineage: Eukaryota; Metazoa; Chordata; Aves; Galliformes; Phasianidae
Source: RefSeq, a predicted model, not a curated record
AAAGUGGAAACUCACCCAGUGGUGGAUUCACGCAGAAAAGCAGACAUUUUUAUCUGUACUUUGGUCCCUUGCAGAGCUCAUCUUUUUUCUUCUGUGAAGUUGAUGAUGACGUUUCUGAGCACGAGACUUCCCUUGAUCUCAGCAAUCCAGGGACAUCUGCUGUGCUUUCUGUGUCUGAGGGUGCUGUGGUAUUGUUUGUUUCUUGGCAUGUCUGAAAGAUUUCCUGGUUUUAGACUUAACUGUUAUCCUGUCACAAAAUGGAGCUUUAUAUUCUGACUGCCCUAGCCUCUCAGAUCUGUGCUGACUUGCAGGAUAUUUUGAGGCUUAAGCACUAAGGUGUCCUGGAUCUUCAACUACGCAGUCUUUCUGGAGCAUUUACUGUAUGGGUUUGUGAUAUCAUAGAACGUCUCAGGUUGGAAGGGAUAAUCCAAUUCCAACUCCCUGUCAUUGGCAGGGCUGCCACCCAGCAGCUCAGAUUUGAACAUGGAAUUCAACCCAUCAGACCAUCCACGGGCCAGUACGAUAUUUCUCAGUAAAUCUCAAACAGAUGUGAGAGAAAAACGCAAGAGUCUCUAUAUAAACCACGUAAGUGAAAAUGCCUCGCU